This is a long non-coding RNA of Lontra canadensis (Northern American river otter), 1052 nucleotides long. RefSeq lists it as uncharacterized. The transcript has 3 exons. NCBI's taxonomy places the organism in Eukaryota, Metazoa, Chordata, Mammalia, Carnivora, Mustelidae. The record is from RefSeq and is a predicted model, not a curated record.
CGCGGAGAGGAGAGACCGGAGGGAGAUCGUCCAGGGGAGGGGGGCGGGAGGGGGGUGGGGGAUUCCGAGGAGCCCGCGGCCGGGAGUCUGGGAGGGCCCGAAAGGCGCCAGGCCCGCCGCGCCACGACUUGCCCAAACCAGACAGGCUUCCUUCUGCGCCCUGGAAGAAGGAGCCGGCCCGCCGCUUCCCGCUCGGCUGCUCCUCGGCCUCCGUGAGCCCCGCCUGCGCCCGCAGCGCUUCUGGGGUCUGGGUCCCCAGCGUCGCCCCCGUCCGCCUGCAGCGCCCGGCGCCCGCCAAGGAGCGCGCAGCUGGGGUGCUGAGGACAUAACGGUGAGCAAGAGAAAUCACAGCCCUUGUUCCCGCUGAUCCUGUGGCCCGGUGGAUGGAGCCCACAGCCCACAGACCUGCCAGGAAAGAAAAAAAAUUUCCUGAUGGUUGUUCCAAGCAGGGACUCCCCGGUGGAUUGAGGAAUGUGUGGCUUUUCCUCAGCUCAUUGAUCCCUGUGGUAGCCACGGGCAGCACCCAAAGGACCCCAAGAAUGAAAGGCCUGUGGCCUGCAAGUUGCUGCUAGAGAUAUUUUAGCCUCUCCAUAUAACAGAAUGCAGCUGCCACACAAGUUCUUAAGGUAAAACUUGAUGGUACAAAGCUGAUGGGUAAUGUUCCCUUCCAUAUAAUUUUUUUUUUUAACCUUAACAUUUUGAGAGUGUAUCCAUUUGGAAAGACAAGUGAAGUAUUACUAUCUGGGGAAAUUCCUUCAUUUGUACUUCUAUCAGUAUCUUAUAUUUAGGUAGGUAACUCAUAGAGGAAGAAAGACUCCAUUUUUAAAAAGGGUCUUGGGUAUAAGGAAUUGAGAAAAGGUGCCAUCAAAUAGAAUGAACUACUAAUUUAAUUUUUUAAACUAUUUCAUUGCGGUAUAAUAAACAAAUGCACCCUUCAUUGUCAAUGUCCAAUUCGAUAAGUUUUGAUAAAUGUGUGUACCAGGUAAUCAACAGACAGCACAACGAAAGUACAGAAUAUUCCUGUUACACCGCAAAGGUGUCUUUCUGCUCUU